Molecule: ribosomal RNA, 492 nt
Filed under: uncultured bacterium
Lineage: Bacteria
Description: partial 16S ribosomal RNA
Rfam family: Bacterial small subunit ribosomal RNA
Source: RNAcentral
AGUGAACGCUGGCGGUAGGCCUAACACAUGCAAGUCGAACGGCAGCACAGUAAGAGCUUGCUCUUACGGGUGGCGAGUGGCGGACGGGUGAGGAAUACAUCCGAAUCUACUUUUUCGUGGGGGAUAACGUAGGGAAACUUACGCUCAUACCGCAUACGACCUACGGGUGAAAGCAGGGGAUCUUCGGACCUUGCGCGGUUGAAUUCGCCGAUGUCGGAGUGGUUAGUUGGCGGGGUAAAGGCCCACCAAGGCGACUAUCCGUAGCCGGUCUGAGAGGAUGAUCAGCCACACUGGAACUGAGACACGGUCCAGACUCCUACGGGAGGCAGCAGUGGGGAAUAUUGGACAAAGGGCGCAAGCCUGAUCCAGCCAUACCGCGUGGGUGAAGGAGGCCUUCGGGUUGUAAAGCCCUUUUGUUGGGAAAGAAAAGCAGCAGGUUAAGACCCCGCUGUUCUGACGGUACCCAAAGAAUAAGCACCGGCUAACUUCGUG